RNAcentral lists this transfer RNA (74 nucleotides) under Fasciola gigantica. It matches the Rfam family "tRNA". From Rfam's summary of the family: Transfer RNA (tRNA) molecules are approximately 80 nucleotides in length. Their secondary structure includes four short double-helical elements and three loops (D, anti-codon, and T loops). The record is from Rfam by way of RNAcentral. Lineage: Eukaryota; Metazoa; Platyhelminthes; Trematoda; Plagiorchiida; Fasciolidae.
CCGGUGGUGGUCAAGUGGGGUAGGGCGUUUUAUAACCACUUAGAAGGUCAGGGGUUCGAAUCCCUUCCGCUGAC